Molecule: unclassified non-coding RNA, 265 nt
Filed under: Hevea brasiliensis (rubber tree)
Lineage: Eukaryota; Viridiplantae; Streptophyta; Magnoliopsida; Malpighiales; Euphorbiaceae
Source: RNAcentral
UAGCAGCACUGGAGCUGCCAAGGUGAGAACUUUAUGAAGUUGACAAUCAAUUGUUGGUGUAGCUGUUUUCUGUGAAUAUAAUAUUGCUGAAUGCCCUAUAGUUAUUUGAAUGUCCUGGGACGUACUGAUUUACAGGCUUUUAUUCUAUGUGGUGGUUAAUCGUCACAUAAUCAAAUUUAGUGCUGCAUUAUCUGGAUAUCUGAUAGCCUCUCUCCACUUAUCUCAAUUUUGGUUUUUUCUUAGGCUGUUGGGAAGGUGUUGCCUG